This 19236-nucleotide long non-coding RNA is filed under the name Capsicum annuum. RNAcentral's name for it is "long non-coding RNA (CANN_LNC000201)". Lineage: Eukaryota; Viridiplantae; Streptophyta; Magnoliopsida; Solanales; Solanaceae. The record is from RNAcentral.
AUUUAACUAGGUUCGCAAAACACGUAAGGCAAACAGGCAUAAAGAAAAAAGGGAAAGGGAGAAAGGAAAAGAUUUAGACCAUUGGGCCUAAAUCAAUGAGACCUGUCCUAGUCUAGUUGGGAUUUCGACCCAUUUUCACCUGUUCUAAUCUAGUUUUCAAGCGUUUGGCUCGAGUCUCGCUCCACCUGUAUUAAAUUUACAACUUUGGCUUCGUGGCCCAGAUGAAUGAAUGAAAAUAAAUAACUGAAUAAAUAAAGACAACAAUAAUAAAUGAAAUGGAAACCGAGACUUUCAAGUCUCUUGGCCGCUUCAAAUGUGGGUUUUUAACCCGUUCUUCUUCUUUCGAUUCCUUGUAUUCGUGUACUAUGAGAUUGUCUCCUUAGGGACUUCAAAAUCGACUCAUGAGGGAUUGGCUUCAAUGACCCACAUCGAUAAUGCAACAAUGGGAAUAGAGUCCAUUUAGACUCGAAUGUUUCCACAUACAGAAGAAAAGAAGGAAAAAUAAAGUAAUUAAUACACGUUCAAAAUAAUAUUCAAAAAUGCUAAAAUAUCAUGCAUCUUAUUUAAUAGCGGGCAAAUAUUAAAUAUAUGAGAUGGGCAUGUUAAUUCAGCGAAGUUAAAACUUCAAUCAAAAUUUCAAGAGCAGAUAAUUUACCUAUUGGUCAGGGCACAUUCGAAUAAACUUACUGAGCGAUAAAAGACCAAAUUUAGGAAAAUUUAAUAAAUCAAAUUCACAUUAGGAGUAUUUCCCUAUCUGCUUGGGCAUAGUAGUCUAUAAUUCUUUAGCUAAUGAGAAACCAAAUUCACAUUAUGUCUAGGUAUACUUAUCCUCAAUGAACACUACAAUCAGGGAAACGGACAAAUUAUUUACUAUCACAUAAGCACUUAGAUAAUCAAAGAAGCAUUUAGGUGAAGCACAGGUAAAGCUUGACUAGGAAAAUUUCCUCAAAGUAGAACAAAUCAAGGCUAGUCAACUUAUACAGUGUUCUACAAGCAAAUAGUUUUAUUGGAUACAGUACAAGAGCAUGAAAUGCACAAAUAAUAUCGAAUCAUAUGAAAAUAUUGUUACUUCGUUAUCCCACAAAAUAAUUCACUGCAAAUAAUGACGCUUUGGUGCCGAUGAGGAUGAAAAGAACAUUGCCACAGGUGAUUUCGAACAUGAACUACAAUGGAUGGAAAACUAGCCACAUUCUGACAAACCAUAUGUUGAAAAGUAACGCUUUCUUCUUCAUUGAUAGGUGCAGGCAAAUGAAUAAAGCCAUGAAUCAACUAACAGAAAUCGGCUUAUUAACUGGAUUUGGAUUUGAAAUACCCUUUUUAGUUUUCAGCUUCAGACGAAUAUUCAAAUCGAUCCUAAAUAUUAAUAAAGAUUAAUAAAGAGAUCAUGUUAAUGAAAUGUAGGUUCCGCAAACAACAGACUCAAUGUGGUCCAUCCCUUUAACGAACCUUACUCAUAACAAGAGCUUAAUUUACCGAGAAGUGAAUCCACCACUAACUAAACAGUAAAAAAGGUUUAGAUUUUACCUAAAUUUCAACCUCUAUCUUAAGCAUAUGAGACUUACUAACCAACACAAGUGGCCAAAUUUUCCCCAUUUAUACAUUUGAAAUUAUGAAAUCAAAAAUUAAUAUUAGUUGAAAAAUUAGCAAAUUUACACACCACAUAUAUGUAUACAUGACCGACACACAAUUGAGUUCAUACAUUUUUAAGCUAUUUAUACAUCUACUUGAACGAAUGCAAGAUGAAACGACACAAAAUACACUCAAUGUGGUCCGGCUCUUCACUGGAUCCUACAUAUAUGGAAACUUCGUACACCAACAACUAAAAUCGCACAAAGUUUCAAUCUUUACCUGAAUUUUCAACCUCCGACCUAGGCACAUGAAACUUACAAACUAACUCAACUAGCCAAAAAUUUUCCAGCAAACAUAUCGAUUCAAAUAAAGCGUAAUGACAACUAUCAUAAACGCAACCUAUGGCUAUUAAAUCCAUCUACCAGCAAUCAAUCUCAGCACCGAAUGUUACCACAAAAAAAAAUUAGUUAUCGCUCCAGAAAAUUGAAAUGAAGCAGAAAAGAUCGAAAUUUGAAACGGAAAAGGAAUGUUACCUUUUGGAGAGCAGAAAAACAGGACCACGAGUUAAUCGUCGGGAUAUUGAUCACCACCGGAGCUUCACCACUACUUCGAUGAUUUCGAUGAACUUUCAAAACAAGAACAGGAUUUCUACUAAAGAAUUAAUAUUUCUCCGAAAGUUUCCUUUCUUUUUCCUUUCUUCCUUCUCUCUCAAUUUUUCCGAACCAGGAUUUCUCUCAGAAAAACGUCCCCCCUAGCCUCUCAAUCAAUUUUUCAAACCCAGAGUUUGGAAACCUAGAAUUUCCAGCCUCCAAAAAACCCUAAAAAAAUUCUUCCAAAUUUCCAGCCCCAAACUUAGAACCCUAGAGUCCCCCCCCCCCCCAAAAAAAACAAAACUUACUAAUCCAAAAGGGAAGAAGCAGAAACACAAAUCCCCUCUCCUCAAAGAACAAAAGGCUUCUUAUAUAGGAGAUGAAUAGGGGUCCUCUUGGGACUUUCGAAAACGUCUCAAUUUUGGAUUCCCCCAACAGAUUUUAGAAAAGCAACUAAUAGAAAUUGGGGAAGUGGAUCAUUCCCCUAAGGAUUAAUGAAAUUUUACCAAAUAUGUACAAAAUCGUACGGAUUAAUCCGAAUUUUUAGGGAUUUGAACGUUGGGAGGAGACACUAGGCGUGUUUCUAGAGGACUUCGUGGAAUUGCCUUUAACUAAAUAGACUUUAAAGUUCAAUCAACAAUCCAGAUAACCAACUAAAAACGAGCAUUUGGGCAUCACUCGAAAGCUAAUUUGCGCGGACUCUUCACUAUUGAACCUGAUUCAAGAUUGUCUUUUUACCAGCUAGAAACCAACUAACCAAGGACCAUUUCUACAUAGAACCUCAUGAAGGGGUAGUAAUUCACGCAACAUUCUUUCUACGCGCAAUGAUAAUCGAAUUCAACUAUUUAGAAACAACAAUGAGAGUUGUAAAACAGCUACAACCAUCAUUAAUGGUAGUAUCAGAACUAGAAGCAACUUUGAAUGCACUUGUAUUCGUGAACUACUUCAUAGACUCGUUAUUCUAUUGCAAUGCAUUAUUUAAUUGUUUAGAUGUUGUAAUGAAACGGGAUGAUCAAUAUAGAAUGACAGUAGAAGAGUUAUAUGGAGAGGAGAUUUUGAACACAAUAGAAAGUGAAGGCAAACAAAGGGUAAUAAGAAGUGUGAAUUAGCAAUUUUUUUUCAAAUGUACUUGUACAGCAAGAUCACAUAAAACAACUUACUCUACAGAGUAGAAAAUGCAGUCUUGUGCAAAUAAAAAAUGUAGUCUGUGCACUAAAACAUUUACUGUGUGUGACUGAACCAAAAGGCCUGAAUCAAAGAAUCAUGUGUAAGUUAAUCUCUUUAUAACAAUUUCUUAUUUGUGUUUCAUUUAGAGUUUGCUUAGAAUUGUUUCCCUAAACUAAAUGCUGCAGCUAUUGAUUAAAUUUGGUGUUAUACAAUGAUGUAUUGACCAUGCUUUAUUUUGUCAUAAUUGUAUACUGUGUGUUAGAGGGAGAACAAGAAAGCUCUUUGAAUUUCCAUAUUGAUGCGUGCUAAAUUAUUUAGUCUCGCCUCAUAAAUUAAUUUACGGGAUUGAUCAGUUAGGUUUCGCGAACUGAACCCGUAGGUUCUACAUAAUGAGAACAAAAGUUGGGCUACAUUAUUGUCUUGAUGAUUAAAAUCCCUAGGAAGCCAUUGGGUUGUUUGUCAGAUGCUUUAUUCAACUUUCUAUUGUAUUGCUUGGUUUUUCCUGUUGCCCUUCUUUCAAAGAAUAGAUGCUUCCUCUUAUGCCAUAAUCGUAAUGCCUGUUUUCGCCACAUAACUCUUUAUAUAGUCAAAUAUCUCUGUAAUGAAAUUGUUUAUUGGAUAUUACUUAUCUCCUAAAGUUGGUGCAAGCCCCUUAGUUCUUAAUGAAACAAAUUGUUGAUUUUCCCUGAUAUGGCAUAGCAGUGAAACAUAAACAUCUUAAUGUUCCUUUUCUUGUUUUGCAGUUGCAGUUUUUAUGUGCGAAGUCUUUGUUUGUGCUGCUAUAUAGUCUUCCAUUUAGCAGGUAACGUUUUCAUUGUAACUUCAAAUUUGUAUAGGUACUGUAUAUUUGUGAUUCUAUACUUGCUUUCAUGUUACUAAUAUGUUAACUGCUAUGUUGUCUUAUAUUAACCACUGUUAGAAAAUCAAUAUUACAAUGUCAAAUAAAAAUAAACAAGCAAAUCCAAACUUUGAAAAAGCACAUGAGGAUAAAAAAGCUAGACGCCGUGAAUUAUAUAAAAUAAUGCAAUCCAAUAAAAAAGAAGUUUUACUAGAUAAAGCAUGAACAAUUAAAGCUGAACGUACCUACCGAUGAUUUGGUGCAACCUCAAUUAGCUUAAUUAAGCAACAACCUUAAUUAGAGCAAGGAUCAACAUCAAAUAAUACUGAACAAUAUAAUGACAACUCAACUAUGACACAAACAUCUACAAAUUAUGUCAUAUUAAAAUCUGUUCCAAAAUGUAAUUUUUAUCGGGCAAGAAAAUUUGAAUACAAACCACCUGCUUUUGGUUGUGGCAAAGGCGCUAUCAAGCUAAUUUCUCAUUGGCUUCCCACCGAAUUAAUGAUUCUUUUGUCACGACCCGAACCAGGGCCUGGUCGUGAUGAGUAUUUCGAACCAUGAAGGCCUGAAACACCCCUGUCUGUCUGGUAAUCAUGCACCUAAUUCGUGUGAUCAAAGUAAUGCGGAAGAAACACAAUAAUUCAGAAACAUGGUCAUAAAUAUGAAAAAAAUAAUAACGGGGAAAUAAGUUUCCCCCAACAUCAAUCAACCUCUAAACAAUUGUCUGCGAAAAUCUCUAACAAAUGACUGAGUCAAGUAACUGUAUAUAAACUGGGACAAGGCUCCCAGUAGACCCCAAAACUAAAUAUAAGAUAAAAGGACUACAGGACAUAAGACCUUCCGAAUAGAAGGCUCACCACUUGUCUCUGCAACUCUGUCUGAAUGAUCUACUAUUUCUCUUGACCCCUAGACUGGGCGUCUAAACUUAAGAAGUUUGAGAGGGAAGGGGGUCAGCACAAAAGUACUGGCAUGCAGAGAUAUCAAAACAAAAUAUAAUAUUUUUACAAAAUAUAGUUGAGAGCCAUUAUAAAGCAAUUUCGUAUCAAAUCAUUUGAAAACACAUGGGCGUAAUGCAAUAGUUUCUCAACAACUAUGAAAUGCAACUGAGCUAGGUGGAAUACCCUACAUAAUUUACACCAACUGUCUAACCUCGGUUGCCACCGAGAUUAGAGUAUAAGUGAGGGAGAGACACACAAGACCAUAAAGCAUGGUGUCUCGACCCAAUGGUAGUGCCCAAGAUCACUUAGCCCGGUCUUCUACCUAUAGUCCCAAUUUGGGAAUGACAUAAAGUCAAUUACACAAGAUCACAUAGCCUGGUACCAAAUUUCCGUGUUGGUAAACACAUUUUCCGGCGAUGAUCCCUUACACUCAAACGCCUUCUUCGGGCAUCCACCUAUCUCAUGUAAAAUUAAUGCAUUCAAAUUUCAUCUGAUUCAAUCACAUAUCAUAUUCUGUAGGGUAUCAUCAUACCCAUACCCGACUUGUAAGUCCUCAAUAUCAAUUCCAUAUAUGCAUAAUCAUGUAAAAUCCAAGGUGCUUCAUCAUUUACAAGUGGUGAACAAUAUUUAUUUCAAAUUCAUGCUCUCUUUUGUUGGUCACAAUAUGAUAUGAGGUGUCAAGACAUUAUCAUGGGAAUUUGAAAGAAAUUUAUCAUUCAUAUUUAUCAAACUUCCAUGGAAAAUCUCAAAUCACAUAUGCAUAGUUUCUACCAUUGAAGUAUAUAGGCAAACAAUUCCAUGACAUAAAGAAAAAUGACUUAGAAAUCAUAUUGAAAACAAGUUAUUAGCAUUUGAUUGAAAACCCCCAUUUAAAAGCAUGCAUGUUCAUAAAAAAUACACCUAUGAGAUUUUAGGAUAACCCCACGUACCUCGAUUACCACGAAUAUUAGAUAUUUCUCGAAGCCUACGUUGAGAGGAUUACAAAUAUACAAUUUGUUCCUAAAACCCCCGGUUGAAUCUCGAGUUGCUUGGGUUUUUAUUUUGAAACCCUAAGGAGAAUCUUUGAGCACUUUUGAUGAAUGAAGGUGUAUUUUGGGGUCCUUGGAACAGAAUUUCGUUUUUUAGGGCUAAGUAAGGGUGGAAAAGGAUCAUUUUGUCCCCAAAACGGAGUGUUUAAGUCACUUGAAUUCUUUACAUAGGCGCCGCCCAUCUCAUUGCCUAUGUUUACAUAGGCGCCGCCUAGGCUAUCGCCUAUGCUUUCUAGUGGCCAUGGGUGAUUGGUUAGGCGACACAUAUCACUUUGAAAGGCCAUAAUUCUUGCUCGAGUGUCGAAUUUUAGCAAAAUUGGUAUCGUUGGAAAGCUAACUCGAAGACCUAUUAUUUGACACAUAGUAGGCUCCCUAAUUCGACAUAUACAGAGAGUUAUGGUUGAUGGGAGCUGACACACUUUACCACGUCCACUAAAACUUAGUCGAUCGAAAUAGUUUCAACUCGUCCUUGAGUUGAAGGACCUCUAUGGUCUAAAUUCAAGCUUGAAUGGAUUCACAUGCUACACAAAUAAUUGACAUGCCGUAUUGGCAAUAGGAUUUUAUGGCUUCGGUAUUUAUCAACACAUCGAAAUCAUGGCCUAUAUUGUAGUCUGAAAUGUGGGGCGUUACAUCUUUAUCUGGGAAAUACUGAAGAAUCAAAACACUUUCGAACUUAUAUAAGAGCAUAUAAUAACAUAUUUGCAUUUAUAUCUCUUGGGGUAGCUUAUGAUAAGGGAUUAUCACAAAGAAACAAAGGUAUUUAUACAUUUCCAGUUCAAGGAAAAAUGUAUCAUUUAAUAAAUGACUUGAUACCAAGCGAUGAAAAUUGAUAAAAAUAUGCAAUUAUACUAAUUUGAUAGUGAGAAUGAGUUGAAAAAUAGAAUGACAUGUUCAAACAAGCUAAAUGAAUAUACUGUUAAAAAGUUAAUGGAAAUAUUAAACAUUAAUCCAUACUCAAUAUUUUUAAAAUCUGUAAUAAAUAUUCCACAACUUUCUGAUUUCUAUAUUGCAUUUAAAUCUGAUGCUGGUUUAAAUCAACGAACAUACAAUUUACCAACUACAUCAGAGGUUGCAGGAAUAUGGGUAGAUCAAGAUGCCAACAAUUAUGUUUCUGCACCUCAUAUACGAAUAUAUACAACAAGUGAUAGGAGUCAACUGGUAAAUUAUUACUAUGAUUGUUAUGACCCAUUGCAAUAUCCAUUGAUGUUUUCUUAUGGUUAAAAUGGUUGGCACUGUGGUAUUGAAAAAAUUAAACGUACAGCCAGUUCUACUACAACACAAAUAUAUUGUGAACAUGAACAUUACCUGGUGUAAAUAAUAUGACUUCAAUUGGUGGAUUUCUUAACUUAGAAAAUGACAUCCUGCGAAAAGGUAAACGAAAAAAAGAUGUGGUUUCUUGUCGUGAAUAUUAUUGUUAUAAGCUUCAAAUAAGAGAUGAUGAAGAUAUAAUAGUGCACUCAGGUAGAUUACUCCAACAAUAUAUUGUAGAUGAAUGGAUCAAAAUUGAAACUCAGAGGCUUGAUUUCGCUUCGUUCAAUCAAGAUUUAUUUAGAAUAGAUGUUUUAGGGGGACUUUUUGAUAUAUUACGCCGUUGUGAAAGAGAAGCUUCUCAAGUAGAAAAGCAUAGAAUAAUUCCUCUUAGUUUCACAAGAGGUCCUAGAGAUAUGCGUCGACGAUAUAUGGAUGCUAUGACUUUAGUUCAAUGUUUUGGAAGACCUGAUAUAUUUCUAACCAUGACUUGCGAUCUUUCUUGGCCUGAAAUUAAACAAAUUCUAAUUCCAACGGAUGAAGUUCAAAACAGACCUGAUUUGAUUUGCUGAAUAUUCCGAGCAAAAUUAGAAGAAUUAAAAAAAGAUAUAUUAAGAAAGCAUAUAUUUGGUAAAGUUGCAACAUUUAUGUGUACAAUAGAAUUUCAAAAAAAAGGACUUCCUCAUGCUCAUUUUCUUAUCAUACUUGAGGAAAAAUAUAAAUUAUUGAUACCAGAAGCGUAUGAUCGAUUUGUUUGUGCAGAGCUACCUGACUCUAAAACAAAUCCAAAUUUAUUUGAACUUGUUAAUCUACACAUGAUACAUGGCCCUUGUGGGAAAUUAAAUCCGACAUGUCCUUGUAUGAAAAAGAAAUGUUCUUGUAAAUUUAAAUAUCCAAAAGAAUUUUCUGACCAAACAUGUAAAGGCAAAAAUUCAUAUCCAAUUUAUAGGCGACGAAAUACAGGAAAAUGUAUAAAAAUCGGAGACCACCUUCUUGAUAAUUCAUGGGUUGUUCCUUACAAUUAAUUUUUAUUAUGUAAAUUCAAUUGCUAUAUGAAUGUAGAAAUCUGUUCUGAUAAUAAAAUUGUUAAAUAUAUUUAUAAAUAUAUAUGUAAAGGACAUGAUAAAAUUAUAUUCCGUCUACAUGAUGAUAACACAAAUGUAGAAAUAGAUGAAAUAAAAGAGUAUCAAUCAGCUAGAUGGGUUUCCCCGCCUGAAGUUGCAUGGCGUAUAUUUGGAUUUCCCAUUAUUGAAAUGAAUCCUUUUUUCUAUCAUUUGCAGCUCCAUCUUUGAUGGACAACAACUUAUUUCUUUCAAAAGUAUCGAUAAUAUUAGCAAAGUUAUAAAUAAUCCAAUGAUUAAGAAAAAUAUGAUAACUAAAUUUUCUAUGAUGAGUACAAUACAUAAAGACGCUAUGAAUUUAAAUUUGUUAUAUCGAGAGUUUCCUGAAUAUUUUGUAUGGUCAACAACAUAUAAAAUGUGGACACGUCGUCAACAAGGAAAUGCAAUUGGCCGUGUUGUAACAUGUCAUCCAACUGAAGGAGAAAGAUAUUAUUUAAGAUUAAUUCUAAUGAAUUUAAGAGGACCUAAAUCAUAUAAAGAUUUGUUAACGGUUGAAUUUUAUAAUACAUUUAGAGAAUCUGCAGAAAAACGAGGACUAUUAUUAUGCGAUAAUAAUUUAAUAGAAUGUAUGUCAGAAGCAGUUGGUUAUCAAAUGUCAUCUAGCUUAAGACAUUUGUUUGUUGUCUUACUAACAUAUUGUAAUCCAAAUAAUCCCAAAGAAUUGUGGGGAAAAUUUAAAGCUGCAAUGUCAGAUGAUUAUAGUAAAUUUGCAAAUCUAUCUUCACAAGAAAUCAGUUAUAAAGUAUUAAAUAAUAUUAACGAUAUUCUUUACUCAAUGGGUCGUGAUAUUAAUGAAUUUCAACUUAUCUCAGAAAAAAUAAAAGCAUCCACUAUAGCCAAAGAAGCUCAAGAUGUACAUUUUGAAAGAAAUAUUAGCGUUAGUGAUGAAGAUUUAUUAUUGAAAAAUAAAUUCAACAAUGAACAACGAACAACUUACAAUAUAAUCCUUGAAAAAGAGUGUUCUCAAAUAAACCUGGGGCUUUCUUUAUUGAUGGUCCUGGUGGAACUGGUAAAAGUAUUUUAUAUCGUGCAUUAUUAGCUACUGUGAAACAUAGAGGGUUUAUAGCUUUGGCAACUGCAAGUUCUGGUGUUGCAGCCUCACUUCUUCAUGGAGGUUGCACUGCUCAUUCUUGAUUUAAAUUGCCUAUAAAUAUUGAUGAAAAUUUUAGUGGUAAUAUUAGCAAACAAAGUUCAUUGGCAUCUUUAAUCCGUGAUGCAAAAUUAAUAGUUUGGGAUGAAAUCUUAAUGGCAAAAAAAAAAAAUUGUAGAGGCCUUGGAUUUGCUUCUUAAAGAUCUUAUGAAAAGAAAGAUUCUCUUCGGUGGAAAAAUUGUUUUUAGUGGUGAUUUCAGACAAAUCCUAUCUGUUGUUCGUAGUGGCAAAAAAGAAGACUUUGUCCGUGAAAGUUUACUAUGUUCUAAGAUUUGGAAUCAACUCCAAAAACUACAAUUAUCUGAAAAUAUGCGAGCAAGAACUGAUCUUCUUUUUGUGACUACUUAAUGAGAAUCGGUAAUGGAAAUGAGAAACAAAAUGCUCAAGGAAAAAUUCAAAUACCAAAAUCUUUAAUCAUUCCUUUCACUACUGAAAAAGAUUUAUUGAACUUGCUAUUUAAAGUUACUUAUCCCAAUUUAUAUACAUCUUACUCAAAUAUUUCUUUUACUACUUCUCGAGCUAUUUUAACAACCAAAAAUGAUUUUUUAGAUGAAAUAAAUGAAAUGUUGGUUACUCAAUACCCAUCCAAUGCAAAAGUAUAUGUGGCUACUAAUGAAACUCUUGAUCCAAAAGAUCAAAGUGAAUAUGAAGAUUUUAUGCAUACUUUAAAUCCUACUGAAUUACCUCCUUACAAGUUAUGUUUAAAAAAAUAUUGCCCCAUUAUCUUGCUAAGAAAUUUAAAUCCUUUAGAAGGUUUAUGUAACGGAACAUGAUUAACAUGUGAUGAUUUUAAAGCUUACGUUAUCAAUGCUGCAAUAUCUAGUGGCGAAUUUAAAAAUACUCAUGUAUUCAUUCCACGCAUACCAUUAUUAACCUUAAUAGAUGAAAAAAUUUUGUUACAAUUUAAAAGAACACAAUUUCCAGUGCGAUUACGUUUUGCCAUGACCAUUAACAAAACGUAAGGACAAACAUUAGACUUUGUUGGCAUUUAUUUAAGAGAAUCAGUAUUUUCUCAUGGUCAACUAUAUAUUGCUUUGUCAAGAGCCAAGAGUUCUAACAAUGUUAGAGUACUAAGAAAACCUCUUAUUGCUGAUAAUCAUGAUGAUUGUUGUACGUCUAAUAUAGUAUACGAUGAAAUUAUUGCAAAAUUUCAGUAUUAAUGGUAAAUCCUCUUACAUUUUAACUACUGUUAUUCUUAUCCUCAAAAUUAUAUCGGGAACCCUCUCAAAAAAGUAAAGUAAUAUUUCAAUGGAGAAGGUUGCAGCCAGUGGUAGCAGUUCUAGAUGGUCCCUUUCAGGGUUUACCGCUCUCGUAACCGGCGGGACACGUGGAAUUGGGUAAACUGAAUUUUGAUACCUUUUUAAGUUUUUUUCAAAUACAUUUUUCUAAAUUUCAAUUUGGAUAUUCAUUUUUAGGCAUGCAGUUGUGGAGGAAUUGGCGGAACGGGGCGCCACAGUGUACACUUGUUCACGUAAUGAAGCGGAGCUCAACAAGCGCCUGCAAGAGUGGGCCGCUAAAGGCCUUCAAGUGUAAGGUUCUGUUUGCGAUGCAUCUUCUAGGGAAAACAGAGUUCAGCUUAUGGAGAAUGUCUCCUCGGCUUUCGACGGAAAGCUGAACAUUCUUGUGUGUUAUAUAACCUAUUCUCUUAUAAAUCCCUCCCUUGAUGAACUGCUUAACAAAUGGUCUCUAUAUUCAAAUUAAUCAAGUAAUUGUAGUGCUUUAAAGCUGAAUAUAAUGGAACAGAAGCUGUAACUUGAUUGUAUUGUACAGCUGGCACAAGAGUUAGUGAAACAUCUUUUGUUCUCUACUUUUGGACUAUCGUUGGGAGCCAUUUUUUGCUGCAUCCUAAAGCAUACAUCUAACGAUGCAAUGUAUCAUGUAUAUACUAAAGAUGACUGCUCUCUCUGUUCUCCUACAUAGGUGCGUAACUAUCAACUUAUUUUUGUAUUUCUUUCGAUCGUUUAUGUCAACAAAGGUGAUGGCUGAACCCACAAUCGCAAAAGUAAAUUUUAAGGAUUUGCGAAAUUGGGGUUUUCCAGUAUCAAUGAAAUUGUUGUUUUGAUUACUUAUUGACUACACAACUUCCGCCCUACUUCUUGACUUUUUGAUGUUUGUGGAAAUUUUAAUUGUGCUCUCUAAUUUAGGUACUAGAUUGGUUAAAUUAGGAUUGGUGUUAUUUUACAGAACUGCGAUUUCCUCGAAAUAGUGAAAUUUGCGUUUGUGUUGUAAAAAAACCAAUCUAUUCAAAAUUAUGACCAAAGUGACAGGGUAACUUGGCAUCUGUUAUUAUCCCCUUAUUAUACAGCAGCUGAUGUUGCAAUUCAUCAAACACUAAGUAUUCUUAUUGCAUACUCUUAUGUAGUUGCUACUCAGUCCUACUGGUUUAGAUCUGGUAAUGAGAUUCUUUUGACCUGAAGUUGGUGUGUAUCUCUAAAUUUCCUUCUCCUAAAGUCCCAAACUUACUCUGGGAGAUAAUCUCGUGCGAAGAAUGUUGCCAUGUUAAAUAUGCUCCCUUUCCCUCGAAAAGUCUAAUGAUGUGAACAGCUUGUCAUAAUCAAAACCUAUUUACAGUUAAGCUACAACAAUUACAUCUCAGUUCAAAAUAAGUUGGAAUCAACUAAAAUGCUUGUGCUGACCAUUGUAUUCCAUUAAAGUGAAAGGUUAUAUUUGAAUCGAUUAUUUUCAAGAUCUGCUAACAUCUAAAAUAAAUUCUCAACUAAUAUGUAUUGUCUAUAUAUACAUAUUUUCUUUCAUUUUGUCAUGCUUACUUGAUCGAAUUGGAUGAAAUAAUCCCAGCAUGUCUUUUUUUGUUUAGGGUUAUGGUCCAUAAUCUCUAUUUAGUUGGUCUAGAAAUUAUUUGUGUUUUUCAAUAAAAUGACUUUAAGGAAUUUGUAUGUGAAACAUAGAGCAGUAGAUUAGUACAAAAAUUUGCCUAGAGUAGCUGCAAAGGUCAAAAUACAUGCCUGUUCCUUACACGAAAAAAAGGGAAUGUUAGAAUAUGUAUAAUCAUUAUUUAUAAACUUCAAAAGUAAAUAAAUUCCGCUACUAUAAAUGUUGUCGAUCUAUUCAAUAUUUAACUUUCAUCCUAAUAUGCUAGCUAGGAAGGUGUGAAGGUUGUAUAUUAGAGAUAGAAGGUUAGUAGAUAAUAGGGGUACGUUAUCUUGAGUUUCAAAGGUACCAAUCUAUUCGGAAUUCAAUCGAUUUGAAAAUUGUGAGUUGUGCUUUGCCGUUUAGGUACUAGGUUCUAAAAAAAAACUAUGAUAUAGCAUAAAAUAAAUGUUUGUCUUAAAAAAAUAUUCACCAUCUUAAAAACUGUUUUCUCUAACAGUAGUUUCGUGUUUUUGGUGUUAGGAACUUUGUUUUCUGAAAAUUGGGUUUCUGUUGUGGAAUUGAGUUAUAUAUUUCUCCUAUACUUAGAGCCAAAAGUAUUUUUAAAUUUGUAUGACAAAGUAACUUUGUAAAGUAUGUCGUGUUAAUGUACUUUGUAACUCAUUUGUUUCAUCGCCUAAAGUCCAUUUCAUUUUCGAAAAACAAGGGAUAGAAAUUUUCGAUAGCCUAAAGUCCAUUUCAUUUUCGAAAAACAGGGGACACAAAUUUUCGAUAUUUUGGUAGCAAGAUCAAUGAGAGAUUUUUCCAGAAUUUUGUUUUCCUUUUUGAUUAAUUGAAGUUUUAGCUUUUUCUACUUGCACAUGAACUAUCGGUUGUUUCGCUAGCCUCCAUUACUGUAUUUUCAUGUUCUUACUGCUUACGGUGGUUCUCAUUUUUUUUUCAUAUGUUUGGAGCCAUUCCAACGAAAACAGCCUCUCAUCCUUUUUAAGGAAGAGGUAAGGUUUGUGUACACAUUAAAAAUCCUGAGAAGGUCCGUUCUAGGUAUUUGUAAAUUAGAGUAUGUGACAAUUUCUGAUUUGCUAACUUCACUAUCAUGUAUGCGUCAAUUCUUUAGUUCUUUGAAUCCUUCUUUCUCACAUAUGUAAAGAUGCAACAACCUAUGCAAGAGCUGCUUUCUGUCGAAUUGAUCAAUCGAUGGCCAAUAUUUGUUAUUAUUUUUCCUAAAAUAAAUUUCUAAUAAUUAGUUUGUAUUCUUUCAUGCUACAAGUCUCAGUCAUACAUUUGCAAAGCCCAAUCUGAGGAUGCAUCAACUCUUUUUUUGUAUCUAUGUAAAUUAUAUGUACAGUACCGUUUUUCAAAACAUGACUCCUUAAUGUUCACACAUAUAUAUGUAUAUAUAUGUGUGUGUGUAUAUAAAAUGUGUGUGCUACAACCUUGUUCUCUUGAGUUCAAUCGUACUAAUUAAAAUAUUCUACUACUCAAACUUUCUACUCCAAGAUAAAUUCUAAAAUUUAAAAAUUGCAAUCCACAUGUUCUAUUGUUGGGCCCGUGCUGACACGGGCCUUGCACUUCUAGUUCAUACAUAUUUGAGUCUUUAUUUUAUGUGAAAAUAUUGUUAAACUUGUUUCAAAUUAUAUUUUAUCUUAAGAAUUUAUUAUAGACACGCAAAUAAUUAUUCUAUUAUUCAAUUUCUAUCUUAAUAAUAUAAGCUUAGUUAUUGAAUUAAAAUAUUUUUUCGAUAAUAUUAUUUGUUGAUGUUAUUUAUAAUUCUUCAUUUGAAACUAAGCAUUUAGUUGUCGACUAAUAAGUAAAGUUUGUUUUAUUUUAAUUUUAUCUUCUACAUGGUGACAAGUAUAAGUAAUUAACAAACAUUUUACUUUAGAUAAAACCUAAGAAUAAAACAGAUUCCAAAAGAGGAGAAAACAAUGAAAAAAUGAGAAAAGAAUUAAGUUUUUAUAAAAUGAGAAGAAGCAAGUGGGGAACAAGAGGUCCAAACAAACAUUUUACUUUAGAUGAAACCUUAGAAUAAAACAAAUCCCAAAAGAGGAAAACACCUAGAAAAAAUGUGAAGAGAAUUAAGUUUUUUAAAAAUGAGAAGAUGCAAGUGGGGAACAACCGGUGGGUGAGGCCACAGUAUUUAGUCGAGCCGGCAAUAUGGGUCAGGUCCGUUGGGUCAGCUUGAACAGAUCUGUAAUUUGAUGGAAUUGGACUUCAGUUUUUGUAAUUCAUUUAAGAACAUGAUUUUUUAGCUCGGUCCAAAUAAGUCCGUGGACCGUAGAGCUUAAGCAAUGUGGGUUGGGCUAGCCCAUGGAUUGGCUCUUAAGUCAAAUACAUGCAACUAUUUAGAUUACUUAUUAGUAUUUUUAUUUGGUUCAAAGAAUAUCAUGUUAAAAGUUAUUUAACUUUGCUAUUAGGAGUAUUUUUUACAGUGUUGGAGACUUGAUUAACAAAUAUUAAUACUCUGUAAUAUUGUCUGAUAAUAUUUAUAUUUAUUAAUAUUCUAAAAUUAAAUUAUAAAGUAUUAUUUUUUAAAAAGUGAGUUGGCCCGUGAGGUCCGCAGCCCACAGAGUAAUGAUGUGGACUUGGUAUUUUUUGACCCAUCAUUUUGAUGGGCUAGCUCGGCCUGACCCAUCAAACUCAAAGCCCAUGUAGACUAGCUCAAAUAGGCUGAGUCAAUCCGUAUCGACAACUUUAAUAUUUAGGUUGAGUGUUUUUUUUUCCUCAACUUUGUUUUACUUAAAAUUUUUUGGGCUCGGGGAGGGGGGUAAGGGGGGUUAAACAUUUUUAGAGCCGUCAAUGUCACUUUUGGGUUGAGGGGAGAGGAGGAGGCCAAAGUAUUUAGGUUGAUUUUUUUAUUUUAUUUUUUAAUUUGGUUUUACUUGAAAUUUUUUGGACCUUUAAUGUCACUUGACAUCUUUUUAUUCGUGAUUUUGUUAUUUCACUGUGAGUGCACGCAUUUCACAUUUUUGUUGAUAAUGAAAAAGACACCUAAUAAGAAUAUUUUUUUAAAUAAUAAAAUGCUAAUAAAUACUAAUUUUAAUCAAAGUGUCUAAGUAAAUUUUGUGGACAAUUUUAAUUAAAGCACCCUUUUAUUUUGACCACCCCCACCAAACGAAACGUGAUAUAUUAUGUAUGUAAUGGUGGACAAUCUUUCCGAUGACAUUGAAGUAAUUAUUGUAUUUUAGUGGACAAACUUUCCAAAGGCAUAGAAGUAGUUAUCUAGUUUUGUAUGUUUAGCGGAUAAACUUUCCCAUGGCAUAGAAGUUAUUAACACACAUGGGUUGGUGUUUUUGGUUCAGCAAUGAUAAAGUACCUUCAUGCAGAAAUAGUGUACAAUAUUAUAAAAGCUCUGAAACAAUUAAAAUGCCAAAAUAGCCCUCCAUGCUAGCAGAUUGUUAAUAUGGUCACAAGGGGUGGAGCUACGUUGUAGCAAAGGUGGUCAGAUGAACACCCUUCGUCAGAAAAUUAUAAAGAAUACGUACAUGAAAUGCUGCUUUAAAGGGUUAAAUAUACAAUAUGAACAAUCUUGAUACAUGUAGUUGCUCUAGCCUAGUGAUGGUAAGCGUGCAGGGAAUGGGCACUCUUCUUUAGUGCGUGGGUUCGAUCCCCUGCAGGUUGCUUUUUUAAAAGUUUUUUUUUCUCAUAUUUAAAAGAGCUUCUAAAUGCACAGGGGGAAACGAAGGAUUAGUAGAUUUUGUUCCUUUUCUUUAAUUAAAAAUUUAUAUAAAAUUUAAAAGUGAUUAUUUAAAUUAAAAUUAAUAAGUAAAUCCUAAAAAUUCUCUAUAACAUUGCUAAAAGCGAAAAAACUUUAUAUAGAAUUUUCUUUUAAAAAAGACCUCAUUUAAUUCUGCUCUUCAUCUUUCAUGUUUCGUUGUUAUUAUUGUCGUCACUAUAGGUCGACGAAAGCUUGAAGCAUAAAACUGAUUUUUUUUCUUUUUAUUUUUUUGCUUAUCACUUUACUUCGUAUUAAAUUAAACAUGAACACUAAAGUUAAACAUUAUGUGGUUUGAUUUUGAAUUUUUGAUACAUUUAUUCAUGAAAAAAUAAUUAUUAGUAUUAUGUAGUUUGAUUUUAAAAUUUUCAAUGCACCAUUCGUAAAAAAAAAAAAAAAUUUGCUAAUAUAAUGAUUGAACACCCUUCAUAAAAUUUCUGGCUCCGCCACUGAUGGUCUCAUAACUAAGGUAAUUAUAGGCUUAAGUAGAAAAUUUAUCCGCGCGGUAGCAAAAAUACUCAUUAUACUUAUGAAAUGACAUAGAAAGUAUAAACAUUGAGAAUAUUUAAUGCAAUUUGAAUUAAAUGAACCUAAAUGAGAAAAAAUAAUGUGAUAUAGAAUUCCAUCUAAAAAGUGAAACUUUCAGUAAGAUAAGAACUCAACUUGAUUAUGUACUUUGAAGCGCAAUCAGUAUUCUUGUGAUGAUUAUAGCUUGCAUUGAGCACAUAUUUCAGAAAUUUUCUUAUUUUUUCUAAAAAAAAAAAGGUUACUUUGUUCCGACUAUUUGUUAAUUAUAAUAACUUGAGAAAAUAUUUUCAUUCGUAGAGUUUAUUAGUCAAACACAAAUCACUUCUUAUCAAAAGUAUCUUUUAAAUAUUUUUUUUUUGCGGAAAAAAAAUUGAUUUUAGAGAUUUAGCAAAACAAAUUAGUGUUAAAAUAAUUUCUAGCCAGUACAUAUAAUAUAAAAUUUUUCUUUCCUUCAUAAUGACAUUUUCAUGUUCAGAAGUUUUCUUUCAAAAAUAAAAUAUUAAUAAAGUAAGAAAAGAUUUUAUUUUUUAUUUUUUGUUGUCUUCAAUGAGAUCUUUACACUUAUAGAAUAUCUUGUAAAAGUUGUAAAAAAAAAAAAAAACCUUUUUUAAAGAAAAAAAUUAAUUUUGUGUCUCUCUUCCCAUGUGAUUCUCACUUUUUUCUAUUCUUUUAGUAUUCAUUUUGUUUCACAAUUCUCUUUUACUUUCAUUUUUAUCUCAUUUUAUAUGUGUUGUACUUUACUCUAGUAAUUUAAUUUUUUCUUCAUUUUACUUUCAUUUUGUAUCUGUUACUUUGUUUUAAUAAUUUAGCUUAUGCUCUAGUAGAAUGACUAAACAUGUACUGAAAUGUAUGAAUAAUUUUUUUUUCAUAAACAAUGACUAUGUGCCUAACACACACACAUAUCCAAAUAAAAAACAAGAGAGACCUUGAGACAAUUUUGUAGGAGACUGAGAAGCCUCAACAUUUUUAAGAAUUCUCACUUGACUUGUUCAAUAUCAUAAUUCAAUUGAGAUGCAAAUUCCUUUAGAUCCGCAAUCGUUUCAGUUUUUUGAUCGGCGCUGAUAAACCUGCAGGUUUCAACUGCAGCGAACUUGAAAUAAAGCUCAUCUAACAUCAAAUCUUUUUCUUACACAUGAAUAACCAAUAUUAUUAGAUGAAAAAACAAAUAAAUUCAUAAAGAAUGAAUCUAGAUGAAGAAACAAAAAAUUCAUAAAGAAUGAAUCUUGCGGCGAUAUAUUUUUUCUUUGGAAUGGUUCAUCCCGUAUGUCUUUUAGAGAGAGCAAAUAAUAACAAAUAAAAAAAUUAGGCAACAAAGAGGGUGGAGAAAAUUGAAGAAUAUGUGUCUUUUAAGUCUUGAAUGAAGGAUUGGUGCCAUUGACCAACAGAUAGGGUCAAACAUUAUUAGGAAACUUGAUCAAGUUAAUUGUGGACUUGAAUAAUAUUUUCAAAACUUUCUAAUUUUUUCAAAAAUACAAAUCAACCCAACCCACACCCUCUUCAAUCUAAAUCAACCACUCUUUCCUCUCUCUCGACAGCUUCUCUCAACUCUCUCCUAACCAACAGUUCUGUAAAAUUUCUCCCUUCAACCCCCGAUGAUGAAUAGUUAGGCUUCGAGUUCCCCUCUUCAAUUCAAUCAACAUGUCUCUCAUCCCUCUCUUGACAGUUUUUCUCAACUCUCUCCCAACAAACUGUUUAGCAAAUUUCUUAUUUCAAUCCUCGGCGACUUCAAUAUCCGACUACAAAUAGUUGGGAUUCCAGUUCCUUUUCGACUUCAAUCGACGUGACAGCCUUGCUCUCCGGCCACAACAGCUUCGAAUUCUUCAUCGGUCCUUUUCUUCUUUCACAGGUAAAAAUUUAUGGCCUUUUUAGUUUUGAAGAAAACGAGAAACUUGAGCCAACUUCUCUUAUAGUAUUGAUUAACAAUUUCAAUAUUUGUUGAACUAAUUUGAAAUGCGGUCUGAAUAAAACCCUAAUUUCUGGCAUUUCUUCUCUUCUCUUCUCUUUUCGAAGUGAAUUAUGAUAUUUUGUUGUUUGUUGCAUUUUUUUGAAGUUUGAUUUUUAUUGUUUGUGUUUAUAAAAACAAAAAGACAAUUUAGUUUGAUUUGUUCUGUUCUUGUUCUUGGUAAAAAUGGUGAAAUUGUUGUUUUUUGUUUAACAAAAUCGUGCUACUGUUUCCUCCGACAGAUUACCCAUCUGGUGCAACAUAUUAACCAUCUGAUUCAACAGAUUGUUCAUAUGAUGCAACAGAUCAACCAUCUGAUGCACUAAAGGAACCAUCAGAUUACAAUUCUGAUGCAACAAAUUAACAAUCUGAUGCAACAGCUUUACCAUAUGUUGCAACAGCUUUACCAUAUAUUGCAACAGAUUAAGCUUCGGAUAAAAAAUUUGAUGCAACUAAUUAACCAUCUGGUGCAAUGGAAGAACCAUCCGAUUAAUGAUUUGAUGCAACAGAUGAACCUUCCGUUGGAUAAAAUCCUACCAACUCUUCCUACAAGAAAAGUCCAAGACUUGAUUUUUC